RNAcentral lists this ribosomal RNA (632 nucleotides) under Gracilaria salicornia. RNAcentral describes it as "SSU rRNA". It matches the Rfam family "Eukaryotic small subunit ribosomal RNA", at positions 568 to 1209 of the family's 1831-position model. Lineage: Eukaryota; Rhodophyta; Florideophyceae; Gracilariales; Gracilariaceae. The record is from RNAcentral.
CAGCAGGCCCGCGUAAUUCCAGCUCUGUAAGCGUAUACCAAAGUUGUUGCAGUUAAAACGCUCGUAGUCGGAUUUUGGCGUCUGACUUGGGUCGUCCUCGCGGACGCUCCCAGGUUGGGCGCCUUUGUGGAUGGGAGUCAGGUGGUGCUUAGUUGGAUCGCCUGGCUGCCGCCACCGUUUACUGUGAAAAAAUUAGAGUGUUCAAAGCAGGCGAUUGCCCUGAAUACAUUAGCAUGGAAUAAUAGAAUAGGACCCGGUCCUAUUUUGUUGGUUUGUUUGAAUCGGGUAAUGAUUAAGAGGGACGGUUGGGGGCAUUCGUAUUCCGACGUCAGAGGUGAAAUUCUUGGAUUGUCGGAAGACGAACAGCUGCGAAAGCGUCUGCCAAGGACGUUUUCAUUGAUCAAGAACGAAAGUAAGGGGAUCGAAGACGAUCAGAUACCGUCGUAGUCUUUACUAUAAACGAUGAGGACUGGAGAUCGGAUAAGACUGAUAUAUGGCUUAUCCGGCAUCCUUCGAGAAAUCAAAGUGUUUGCUUUCUGGGGGGAGUAUGGUCGCAAGGCUGAAACUUAAAGGAAUUGACGGAAGGGCAUCACCGGGUGUGGAGCCUGCGGCUUAAUUUGACUCAACACGGG